UCCUGGCUCAGGAUGAACGCUAGCUACAGGCUUAACACGAUGCAAGUCGAGGGGCAGCAUUGGAGUAGCAAUACUCAGAUGGCGACCGGCGCACGGGUGAGUAACACGUAUCCAACCUGCCGCUUACUCGGGGAUAGCCUUUCGAAAGAAAGAUUAAUACCCGAUGGUAUAAAGAGUUCGCAUGUUCUCUUUAUUAAAGAAUUUCGGUAAGCGAUGGGGAUGCGUUCCAUUAGAUAGUUGGCGGGGUAACGGCCCACCAAGUCUACGAUGGAUAGGGGGUUCUGAGAGGAAGGUCCCCCACAUUGGAACUGAGACACGGUCCAAACUCCUACGGGAGGCAGCAGUGAGGAAUAUUGGUCAAUGGACGAGAGUCUGAACCAGCCAAAAGUAGCGUGAAGGAUGACUGCCCUAUGGGUUGUAAACUUCUUUUAUAAGGGAAUAAAGUGAGGGACGUGUCCCUUUUUGUAUGUACCUUAUGAAUAAGGAUCGGCUAACUCCGUGCCAGCCGCCGC
Molecule: ribosomal RNA, 512 nt
Filed under: uncultured bacterium
Lineage: Bacteria
Description: bacterial SSU rRNA
Rfam family: Bacterial small subunit ribosomal RNA
Source: RNAcentral